RNAcentral lists this non-coding RNA (30 nucleotides) under Rattus norvegicus (Norway rat). Lineage: Eukaryota; Metazoa; Chordata; Mammalia; Rodentia; Muridae. The record is from RNAcentral.
UCAGACAAAGUAUAUUCACUGAGCUGCUCU